RNAcentral lists this long non-coding RNA (1347 nucleotides) under Serinus canaria (Common canary). Its description in RNAcentral is "lncRNA (ENSSCAG00000014809.1)". Lineage: Eukaryota; Metazoa; Chordata; Aves; Passeriformes; Fringillidae. The record is from RNAcentral.
GCCUGGGCUCCUCCGGGGGCUGCCGGGGCAUCUCUGCGCCCCUGCCCACCGUGGGUUGCAGGGCAAUCUCAGCCCGGAGAGGGUCCUGCCCUCCUUCCCCACCGAUACUGGGCUCUUUCCCAUAUUCUCUAUUCUCUUUUCUUUGGCUGUGCAUUGCUCAUAUGCAACAAGUGUUUUGCCUUUUUUAUUAGGUUAUACCAAAGGUGCUGCCAUUGUCACUGAUGUGCUUGGGUCCGCCUUGGAGCCGAAUGGUUUUGGCUUCACGGGACACGGGGAAAGCUUCAGAGAGCUUGGCACAGAAACCAGCCCUGCAGCCCUCCGCACUGCCCGCCUCCUCUGUCACAGCCUGGCCCUGCAAACCCAGGGCGUUAAAAUGCAGGUAGAAGUUUGCUGAGCCUUUAAUUUCACCCCUCCCAGGAGUUCAUGUGAUGGCUUAAAAAAAAAAGAAGAGUCAUUGAAGCUGUUUCAGUGUGGUACCAAGACUUUCCAAGUAUAAACACAGAAAGAUGAGAAGGUGGGAAAAGUUAAAGGGCAAAACACUUGGAGAACACACUUUAUUUAAAAGAACUUUUGAGAAUCCAUUUCAUUGCAAGGUAAAGCAGAGUAAUGCAACAUUGCAGUAAGAACAAGAAAGUAUUUCCAGGAACAGAAGUAGCAGCUUAGUCUGUAUUUUAGAAAUGCAAUUUUACUGACUAUUUAGCAUAACAUCUCCUGAAGUGGCCUUGGGGCUUUUCUCUCUGCUUAUCCUUUUCCUCAGAUGCAAGUUUAUGUUUGUUCCCUGAGCCCACAGUGCUUGCUGUGGAAUGAAGGCUGUUACGUACCGGUGGUAAAGAGCUGAACUGUAAACUCUUGCAAGCUUUCCAAGAAUCAGUGGAAGAUCAUGCCAGCUUUCCAUGUAAAAAUCCUUUCCAUUUCCUCCAAGAGUUGCCAAACUCCAUCUCUCAGGGCUUUAGGGUCUGUGAAAUGAGAGCUCCACUAUUGCUGGGAGCCAAGGGGGGAAAGCAGGUCCCUCCCUCUGCCAGCUGAGAGCUCCUUAUCCAGAAUGUGCUCACAGAACAGUGCAGAAACAGAGGCAGAUUCUGGGUUUUGAAUUACAGAAAUUGCUCCCUUGCUGUGUGCUGUGGCUCUGCAGAUUCAGGGUGCAUCUUUGAAGGUGUCUGAGGAGCAUGAGGCACUGGCAAGUGUUUGUUUUGGGUGGCUAUUACUGGAGCAGAGCCCAGGACAAGGAGGAAGAUGCACUCUUAUUGUGAUCAGACUCUUUCCUCUGGCACUGGGCCUGGAGUGCAGGGCUGGCCCUAAAAUGGCCUUAGAAAAAUAAACAUCCUAGUUCUUUUCCUUACUGGAACA